This 491-nucleotide ribosomal RNA is filed under the name uncultured bacterium. RNAcentral's name for it is "partial 16S ribosomal RNA". It matches the Rfam family "Bacterial small subunit ribosomal RNA", at positions 29 to 507 of the family's 1533-position model. The record is from RNAcentral.
AGUGAACGCUGGCGGUAGGCCUAACACAUGCAAGUCGAACGGCAGCACAGUAAGAGCUUGCUCUUACGGGUGGCGAGUGGCGGACGGGUGAGGAAUACAUCGGAAUCUACUUUUUCGUGGGGGAUAACGUAGGGAAACUUACGCUAAUACCGCAUACGACCUACGGGUGAAAGCAGGGGAUCUUCGGACCUUGCGCGAUUGAAUGAGCCGAUGUCGGAUUAGCUAGUUGGCGGGGUAAAGGCCCACCAAGGCGACGAUCCGUAGCUGGUCUGAGAGGAUGAUCAGCCACACUGGAACUGAGACACGGUCCAGACUCCACGGGAGGCAGCAGUGGGGAAUAUUGGACAAUGGGCGCAAGCCUGAUCCAGCCAUACCGCGUGGGUGAAGAAGGCCUUCGGGUUGUAAAGCCCUUUUGUUGGGAAAGAAAAGCAGCAGGUUAAUACCCCGCUGUUCUGACGGUACCCAAAGAAUAAGCACCGGCUAACUUCGUG